Molecule: microRNA precursor, 60 nt
Filed under: Tetraodon nigroviridis (spotted green pufferfish)
Lineage: Eukaryota; Metazoa; Chordata; Actinopteri; Tetraodontiformes; Tetraodontidae
Description: Tni-Mir-31_pre stem-loop
Source: RNAcentral
AGGCAAGAUGCUGGCAUAGCUGCUGACGCUGGCUCCCGGCUGUGCCAGCAACCUGCCCUC